Non-coding RNA from Callorhinchus milii (elephant shark), 81 nucleotides. Lineage: Eukaryota; Metazoa; Chordata; Chondrichthyes; Chimaeriformes; Callorhinchidae. The record is from the annotation of a RefSeq genome assembly.
GUCCGUGGAGUUCUGUAGCUUAGUGGUUAGAGCACUCGCCUCGUAAGCUAGAGGACCUGGGUUCGAUUCCCAGAGAGGGCG